Long non-coding RNA from Brassica oleracea var. oleracea, 1189 nucleotides. RefSeq lists it as uncharacterized. NCBI's taxonomy places the organism in Eukaryota, Viridiplantae, Streptophyta, Magnoliopsida, Brassicales, Brassicaceae. The transcript has 2 exons. The record is from RefSeq and is a predicted model, not a curated record.
UCUUCAUCUCUGAUAUUUGAGAUCGACACACAAACUGAGUUCUGAAAGCGUUGAUUCGUCUUCACCAAAGUGGACAACGUAAUCUAGGGUUCAUCUUAUUCUUCGAUCCCUGAGCAUCUUCACCAACAAUGGAGUUUCUAGAGGAUGCGUGAGUUGAAUAGUCUUGAAGAAUCUCUGUAAGAAGCUUCGAUUGCGUCUUUACGCCUUCCUUUCUAAUCUUUCGAAACGUUAAUGGUUAUUAAUUCAUCGCUUUAACAAACAUCUUAAUACCAUCAACCCACGUCGAGCACGAUCUGAGAUUGAUUCAUCUUAUCCCUCUGCAAGUCGGUCUCUCUGCACCUAUAAAAGGUAAGCCAUCUUUCCUUGAACAUCAUCCUCUCAAUACGUGAUAACACCAAAGUUAAUUUAUUAUGUGAAUGGCUAACUCAUCAAUCCUCUUCUUUAAUGGCUUCUCGAGCUGCGACACAAGAAGCUGCGACACAAGAAGCAGCGAUGAACGGAGUCCUCAUCGGUUCGAAUCAGCCCUAAGGACGACGGAGUCGCGGAGAUCUCUGAUCCCGUACCUCUCAUUCCUCCUCUCGAUAUCUCUCGCUCAUCAUGGCCACUCUCUCUUCUUCUUAUGAUCUUAAUCAGCUUUGAAAUUGAACUUUGAUAUUGGAUUACGGAUUGUGGAGUUUUAGUUCGUCUACGAAAUGAAAUUGCAUUCUUGACCUUCUGAAUAUUGCUUGAUUGUCUAUAGAGGAGGAUUACGUGGCUAUGUGAGUAGAUGGAGUUGAGAUGAGGAUGCUAGCUCUUACAGCUUUAGAUGUUCUACGGUUCCUCAGAUUUUUCAAUCGAUACAGGUUUUUGUGUUUUGAGUGAACUUUUGACGCUUAGGAAGUGAGGAUAUGCAAGAGUUCAGUGUGUAGCAUGCAAGACAACAGAUGAGUUAUUGCAAUAAGCUGGCUAAACUUGAUGGAGUUCCAUACCGUGAUUUCACUGGAUAGGUCUAGGGUUUUUUUUUGGAAAAUAAAAAAAUUUAGUUUGCAUCUUAUUGAGGGGUUAACAUGAUAAACUCAAGCAUCUUGCUUAGUUGUUGUUUGUCUUGCGCUGUGCGCUGUUCGCAGGAGAAGAUUUGCCUAUUCUCUACGGGUUUGAAUGUAAGGAUAAUGUUUGAGACCAACACACGAAACCCACCGGGUCUUAUAAA